This 479-nucleotide ribosomal RNA is filed under the name uncultured bacterium. RNAcentral's name for it is "partial 16S ribosomal RNA". It matches the Rfam family "Bacterial small subunit ribosomal RNA", at positions 28 to 507 of the family's 1533-position model. The record is from RNAcentral.
GAUGAACGCUAGCGGGAGGCCUAACACAUGCAAGCCGAGCGGUAUUUGUUCUUCGGAACAGAGAGAGCGGCGCACGGGUGCGGAACACGUGUGCAACCUGCCUUUAUCUGGGGGAUAGCCUUUCGAAAGGAAGAUUAAUACCCCAUAAUAUAUUGAGUGGCAUCAUUUGAUAUUGAAAACUCCGGCGGAUAGAGAUGGGCACGCGCAAGAUUAGAUAGUUGGUGAGGUAACGGCUCACCAAGUCAAUGAUCUUUAGGGGGCCUGAGAGGGUGAUCCCCCACACUGGUACUGAGACACGGACCAGACUCCUACGGGAGGCAGCAGUGAGGAAUAUUGGACAAUGGGUUAGCGCCUGAUCCAGCCAUCCCGCGUGAAGGACGACGGCCCUAUGGGUUGUAAACUUCUUUUGUAUAGGGAUAAACCUACUCUCGUGAGAGUAGCUGAAGGUACUAUACGAAUAAGCACCGGCUAACUCCGUG